AAAAAGCUCGUAGUUGGAUGUUGGUUAAGAGGGCGCGGUCGGCCGUUUGGUCUGUACUGCGUUGUCUUGACUUCCUGAUGAGGACAUGCUCUUGGUUAACGCUGAGACAUGGAGUCAUCGUGGUUACUUUGAAAAAAUUAGAGUGUUCAAAGCGGGCUUACGCUUGAAUAUAUUAGCAUGGAAUAACACUAUAGGACUCCUGUCCUAUCUCGUUGGUCUCGGGAUGGGAGUAAUGAUUAAGAGGAACAGUUGGGGGCAUUCGUAUUUCAUUGUCAGAGGUGAAAUUCUUGGAUUUAUGAAAAGAACGAAACCUUUCUGGGCGAAAAAAGCCAUUUUUGGCCAAAGGGAUGUUUUCAUUAAUCAAGAACGAAAGUUGGGGGCUCGAAGAUGAUUAGAUACCAUCCUAGUCUCAACCAUAAACGAUGCCGACUAGGGAUUGGUGGAUGUUAAUUGAUGACUUCACCAGCACCUUAUGAGAAAU
This 481-nucleotide ribosomal RNA is filed under the name uncultured marine eukaryote. Its description in RNAcentral is "SSU rRNA". It matches the Rfam family "Eukaryotic small subunit ribosomal RNA", at positions 621 to 1098 of the family's 1831-position model. The record is from RNAcentral.